This 227-nucleotide ribosomal RNA is filed under the name uncultured bacterium. RNAcentral describes it as "partial 16S ribosomal RNA". It matches the Rfam family "Bacterial small subunit ribosomal RNA", at positions 524 to 749 of the family's 1533-position model. The record is from RNAcentral.
GACAGAGGGUGCGAACGUUGUUCGGAAUUACUGGGCGUAAAGCGCAUGUAGGCGGCAGCGCAAGUCGGGCGUGAAAUCCCACGGCUCAACCGUGGAAGUGCACUCGAAACUGCGCAGCUAGAGUCCUGGAGAGGAAGGUGGAAUGCUUGGUGGUAGAGGUGAAAUUCGUAGAUAUCAAGCGGAACACCGGUGGCGAAGGCGGCCUUCUGGACAGUGACUGACGCUGA